RNAcentral lists this unclassified non-coding RNA (408 nucleotides) under Hysterobaeckea tuberculata. RNAcentral's name for it is "partial external transcribed spacer". Lineage: Eukaryota; Viridiplantae; Streptophyta; Magnoliopsida; Myrtales; Myrtaceae. The record is from RNAcentral.
CGUGCUGGUGCACCGAACUGCUUCCCCCACUUUCAAUCAAUUCUUUGCUCCACGAGCUAACGUUGGAUGCAAAAUGGUGGGUUCCUGUGCUGCAUACCUAUGAGAUGGAAAUUCGUCCCUUCGGUUGUCCCUUCCAUCCGUGCAUCCUCUCGGAUGCUCGGGUGGACUAGAUAGAAGGGCUCGUGCCCCAUGGACAUCGCACGCGAUCGUUCCYAUGGACCUCGAGCUCCUUCUUGUCCUCUCGGAUGCGGAAAGUUCCUCACGGGCGUGGGGUCAUCGGCCCUUGUUCCCGAAUGUUGAAGCGUUUAUCGCUUCACACCGGAAUGACGCUCUCGCCGGACCCUUGAUGGAUGUGGAGCUCUCGGGCUACCACAAGGAUCAAGCACGGCAGACGUUGUGAAGGAAUGC